This 58-nucleotide transfer RNA is filed under the name Liphistius erawan. Its description in RNAcentral is "tRNA-Glu". The record is from RNAcentral. Lineage: Eukaryota; Metazoa; Arthropoda; Arachnida; Araneae; Liphistiidae.
GUUUUUGUGGUGUACAACACAUGUUCUUUUCAUGAACAAGAUAGACUUCUCAAAAAUA